This 497-nucleotide ribosomal RNA is filed under the name uncultured bacterium. RNAcentral describes it as "partial 16S ribosomal RNA". It matches the Rfam family "Bacterial small subunit ribosomal RNA", at positions 28 to 507 of the family's 1533-position model. The record is from RNAcentral.
GAUGAACGCUGGCGGCGUGCCUAAUACAUGCAAGUCGAGCGAACAAACGAGGAGCUUGCUCCUCUGACGUUAGCGGCGGACGGGUGAGUAACACGUGGAUAACCUACCUAUAAGACUGGGAUAACUUCGGGAAACCGGAGCUAAUACCGGAUAAUAUAUUGAACCGCAUGGUUCAAUAGUGAAAGACGGUUUUGCUGUCACUUAUAGAUGGAUCCGCGCCGCAUUAGCUAGUUGGUAAGGUAACGGCUUACCAAGGCAACGAUGCGUAGCCGACCUGAGAGGGUGAUCGGCCACACUGGAACUGGGACACGGUCCAGACUCCUACGGGAGGCAGCAGUAGGGAAUCUUCCGCAAUGGGCGAAAGCUUGACGGAGCAACGCCGCGUGAGUGAUGAAGGUCUUCGGAUCGUAAAACUCUGUUAUUAGGGAAGAACAAAUGUGUAAGUAACUAUGCACGUCUUGACGGUACCUAAUCAGAAAGCCACGGCUAACUACGUG